UACGUAGGGAGCAAGCGUUAUCCGGAUUUACUGGGUGUAAAGGGCGUGUAGGCGGGCGUGCAAGUCAGAAGUGAAAUCUGGUGGCUUAACCACCAAACUGCUUUUGAAACUGCGGGUCUUGAGUGAUGGAGAGGCAGGCGGAAUUCCCAGUGUAGCGGUGAAAUGCAUAGAUAUUGGGAGGAACACCAGUGGCGAAGGCGGCCUGCUGGACAUUAACUGACGCUGAGGCGCGAAAGCGUGGGGAGCAAACAGG
RNAcentral lists this ribosomal RNA (253 nucleotides) under uncultured bacterium. RNAcentral describes it as "partial 16S ribosomal RNA". It matches the Rfam family "Bacterial small subunit ribosomal RNA", at positions 524 to 776 of the family's 1533-position model. The record is from RNAcentral.